AGAGUUUGAUCCUGGCUCAGGAUGAACGCUGGCGGCGUGCUUAACACAUGCAAGUCGAACGAAGCACUUUUGAUUGAAUCUUCGGAGGAAAGAGAAAGUGACUGAGUGGCGGACGGGUGAGUAACGCGUGGGUAACCUGCCUCAUACAGGGGGAUAACAGUUAGAAAUGACUGCUAAUACCGCAUAAGCAUACAGUACCGCAUGGUACAGUGUGAAAAACUCCGGUGGUAUGAGAUGGACCCGCGUCUGAUUAGGUAGUUGGUGGGGUAACGGCCUACCAAGCCGACGAUCAGUAGCCGACCUGAGAGGGUGACCGGCCACAUUGGGACUGAGACACGGCCCAAACUCCUACGGGAGGCAGCAGUGGGGAAUAUUGCACAAUGGGGGAAACCCUGAUGCAGCGACGCCGCGUGAAGGAAGAAGUAUUUCGGUAUGUAAACUUCUAUCAGCAGGGAAGAAAAUGACGGUACCUGACUAAGAAGCCCCGGCUAACUACGUG
RNAcentral lists this ribosomal RNA (499 nucleotides) under uncultured Lachnospiraceae bacterium. Its description in RNAcentral is "bacterial SSU rRNA". It matches the Rfam family "Bacterial small subunit ribosomal RNA", at positions 8 to 507 of the family's 1533-position model. Lineage: Bacteria; Bacillati; Bacillota; Clostridia; Lachnospirales; Lachnospiraceae. The record is from RNAcentral.